UACGCGAGAAACCUUACCAGGGCUUAAAUGCAAAAUGACAGAUUGGGAAACCAGUCCUUCUUCGGACAUUUUGCAAGGUGUUGCAUGGCUGUCG
This 94-nucleotide ribosomal RNA is filed under the name uncultured marine bacterium. RNAcentral's name for it is "partial small subunit ribosomal RNA". The record is from RNAcentral.